RNAcentral lists this long non-coding RNA (208 nucleotides) under Apteryx rowi (Okarito brown kiwi). RNAcentral describes it as "lncRNA (ENSARWG00000005391.1)". Lineage: Eukaryota; Metazoa; Chordata; Aves; Apterygiformes; Apterygidae. The record is from RNAcentral.
CGCUGGGAUCAUCCCUGGCAUUUGAGGAAGUAAAUCCUAUGAGGAGAGACUGAGCCAAAGCCACUGCAGGAUGCUUAUGGCCCUGUCUUGGGAUGUGGGAAAGCUGGAAUCAUGGCCUUGCUUCGAAUCAAGAGGAACGGGGAUUUGAGAACUGGGCUCUUGUUUCCAAGGAAACUGGCUGGCCUAAACUCACAAGCAAGAUAGAUGG